ACUCCUAAACAAAAAUCCCCAGUCUUUGACUCACACCAAAAUCCCCAAAUCAGCCGCCUGACCUAGCCUCCUCCUCGAGCACCCUUCCCCCCCGCCGCCGCCUACCCUCCGCAGCUGCCGACCGCCUACCCUCCGCAGCUGCCGACCGCCUACCCUCCGCCACACCUGAGUGCCACCUCCCUCCCUGACCACGCCGCCCUAGUGCCAUCCAUCCCAGACCACUCCCCCGAGCACCCUCCGCCGCCCCGACGACCAUUCGCCACCAGCCCCGCCGCUCCCUGGAGAUCCUCCAUCGAGCAGCGCCGUCGCUUCCAGGAGAUCCAGCCCGAGAAGCGUCGCUGCUUCCAGGAGCUCCUGGCACGGGCAGCGUCGCUGUUUCCAGAAGCUCCGUCCCGCCACGUCUUCGUCCUCUCCCCCAAGAGCGCCGACUACAUCCUCUCCCCCGAGCAGAUGCCGCUUCUGCGUUCUUUCACACGAGCAGUGCCGCGUCGACUACAUCCCGGUCUCCUCUACUUCCUCACCCCAACCCGUGAGAUUUCUCUUUGUCCUAUGAGUUUUAUUAGUCUCAGGUGUGUAUUCUGUGAUGUGUGAUCUGUGGACAGAACAAGGGCUAUAGUUUUUGAUAAUUUCUUGAAUCAUUAGAUAAAAACUACUUACAAUAGAGUUUAAAGAAAUAAGGCAAAGAUAGUAGACUCCAAUAUGAAUGAGGUUUAAUUGAAUCAUCGGAUAGAAAGUGAGGUACUGAAAGUAGAUCAUAACCACAUGUGUAGGCGUUUCAGCAUUCAGUCUAUUACUUGCAUCUUAGGAUUUAUGUGAUGCAGAUUGCUCUGUACUUUUAUGAGCAAGUCAGUGUUAUUACAAGCUACAGCCUUUUCAGUUAAAGCUAGAUCAAGAAAAGCAAAGUGGCACGCUCUGCCUCUAAAUUUUAUUUUCCAUAGUCAAUAAAUUACAAGUGGCUAGUACCUUUAAUAACAUGAAUGCAGAUUUUGUAAGCUAGCUAGGCCAUAGUUACACUUCCUAUCUCGGUCAUACAUUGGGCAAACUUUUUGUUUGGAUAUGUACUGCACUGGUUGUGCUCUGGAAGUCACUACAGAAAAUUGUAACGAUUGUGAGUUUUAUUUCGAGAAGAUUUGUGAACAGUUUACAGUUCUAGGGCAAUUGUUUGGGUAUCUCAAAAUGUGGCAUAUAGCUUGGAUGAUACUGUAUCAUGUGCAGAGUUCUAAGCCCUCUAUUCUAAUUUCUUGAUUUCUUCCAUAGUUUAGGUAUUAGUAUUACUGCUUAGAUGUGAUGUGAACAAGAACUAAUGUGCCAUGCCCACUCACGCCCGGUGCACGUAUAGCUUCAGGAUAUGAAUGUGAUUAUCCGAGGAUCCAUGUUGCUUAAAUUCUUUCAUUUAUCAUGGUUGUACCAUUGAUUUGGUCCCUCAAUUUGUAUGUUAAAUUAUGUAAUUGGUCUUUGUCUCCUUUGAGAAGCGCGCCUCCUCCUCAUCCUCUCCACCAAGCAGUGCUGCUUUGACUACGUCGUCUGCCCUGGGUAGCACCUCGUCUACAUCCUCGCCCAAAACUGCACCGCCUACGUCCUCUGCUUCACCGCCUGAUCAGCCCUGCCUCCUCUCCUUCUCAACCGACGAUGAGAUUUCUUUGCUAUUUCUAUCAUUCAUCCCUAGUAAUCGUGUAAUGGGCCCUGCUAUGGUGUUGAAAUUUUGCGGCUAACCUCGAUAUCUUAAUUCUCUUCAUGUUCACUUGAUUAAUUCAGUGCAUGCUAAACUAUUUUUAUGCGAGUUCUUGUGAUAAGUACUGCAUUGGAAUACGUUCUUUGCCAAAAUGUAGAGCAUGUAGACAAUUUUGUGUACAACGAGAAAUCUAUGUGCCUCUCCAAUGAUUUUUUUACCAAAUGGUACAUUUUGAAUACUUUAUUGGAUUAUAGAUGACAUUGUUGCCCAUACUCUGCUUAGAUGAUGCUAGACUCGUUGUUUGCUUUAUGACAAGUUCUUGUUCAGGCCAUUCUGCAGAAAGCCCUUUAUAUUUGACCUAAAUCCUUUCAGUAAAUAAUCCUUAUAUGCAUCUAAAUUGGUACAGCUUGAAAGAAACUAAGCGUACACUUUAAAAUUAUCUGAAUUUGUAUCAGACUGAAACAGUGCAGCCUGUUGUUUGUAUCGGUGUUGCCCUUUUCAUUAUAACUGGUUCAUAGUUUUCAAGUUUGGUUCGUAAUGACUGGUCUUUCAAAAAACUGAGCGCACAAUCCAGUGAGCAUCCAGUUUCUUGUUCGCUAAAUGCACAACAUACAAAAACUAAACAAUGGCUUAUCUAUGGACUGAAGUUGCAUGAUUCUGGUACUAAGCCGAGAGCAGACAGAGAUCAAGGCUCUUCUAAUAGUGUGUAUUCAAUGGAUUGAACGCAGGCAAGCUACCAAAGAAAAAGAGAAAGAUGCCGAGGUCCUGCGGUGGCUAGGGUUGUGCGCACUGGUGUUGCCUAUGCGAGCGACACGGGGUGAGCAACUAGGAACCAAAAGAUGCCGACAGUAUUGAGUAGUCAGAUCAGCAAACCUGUGUUGGUAGUUCCAUCACUGAAACGAGGUACACCUGUAGUUUGUCACGAGCUUGCCAAGCUUGUAAGUUUUGUCACGAGGAGGAGAUUGUUAGAAUGCUACAGAACUUCUACUACAUGAUAGUAGUUGGACCAGUCAACUAGGAUGCCUACAUGAUGUUUCUUGUAUUCAUAGCAACAACAGAAUCAUGUGGGGCGAGGUUAAGCUGUGAUCUUCAAAACAUUGCAAGUUUGGUGACUCUUCUGCGAGAGACAUGUGGCCCUCUUUGAAGGAUGCAGUUUCACAGGAUGGUGGCGAGUCAGUUAUUCACAAGACAUCUAAUAAAGCCAUCCAACAAACGGCUGCGAACGAGCAAUUUGUCUUCCUGAACAUGGCUGUAGCUGUGCGUCAAGCUCAAACCAUUUGUUUAUCUUAGUUUGAACAAAAGAAAUCUUAUUGUCUUAUGUAAAUUCUGUUUACCGAUGUAGUUGGAUGCUACCAAAUGGAUCUUUGAAUGUUGAAAUACUGAUGUUUUGAGUCA
Molecule: non-coding RNA, 3067 nt
Organism: Triticum urartu
Lineage: Eukaryota; Viridiplantae; Streptophyta; Magnoliopsida; Poales; Poaceae
Source: RefSeq, a predicted model, not a curated record